CGAAACAAAAGCAGGGAGCAAGCAUAUAAAUGCCCACAUCAGAUUUAAGCUUCUGGGGGGAAAGCCGCAUAGAUCAUAACGAAGGUCUGCGUAUUCAAACUGUACAACACAACGAGAAACUAAAUCCCCUCCUGUUCACUGAUUAAGAGGUGAUGACUACUCCACUCUACUACCAUUGUCAACUCUCUCCUGACAUGAACUGAAGCCACGUCUCAUGUGCCCGGUCAUCCACUGGCACAUUGAGUGUUUCCCCUCCACGCACUUUUUUAUCUUCCCAGUCAAAUCCUGUCCUGCACUGGUCAAGUCUCUAAACACCUCAACUCAUGCUUCAUACCCUCAUUCAGUCACUGCUGUGAUCCCUUCCCAACACUGUAAGUAGCCCCCUCAUUCCCCUUCCUUACAAUAUUGUACUAUAAAUGUCUUUAUUAAAUGCUUUAGUUUAAAAUAAUUUGUCUUUGAUGAUUUUUUAAACACUCUUUGUCGUCUUUGUGCGUUCUGGGCCUAUAGUGUGCGUCUCCCAUCCUCCUAAAUUUUUCAAGUCACCAGCCUCCGCUAACAUAUAGGAAAGGGUAAAGUGACUAGGCAACAUGAUAUGUAAUAAAUAGUAGCAGCAGCGUAUGUGACAAGUCACAAGAGUUAGUGCAAAAAGCGUCAAUGCAGAUAGUCCAGGUAGCUAUUUGGUUAACUGCUUUAUGUGAGACCCUUUCAUAGAAUAUAUGGCCUAGAAUACUCAGUGGUGUAAAGUACUUAAGUAAAAAUACUUUAAAGUACUACUUAAGUAGUUUUGGGGGGUAGGUGUACUUUACCUUACUAUUUAUAUUUUUUACAACUUUUACUUUUACUUCACUACGUUCAUAAAGAAAAUAAUGUACUUUUUACUCCAUACAUUUGACCUGACACCAAAAGUACUCGUUACAUUUUGAACGCUUAGCAGGACAGAAAAAGUGUCCAAUUCACACACUUAUCAAGAGAACAUGCCUGGUCAUCUCUACAGCCUCUUAUCUGGUAGACUCACUAAACACAAAUGCAUCUUUUGUUAUUGAUGUCUGAGUGUUGGAGUCUGCCCCUGGCUAUCCAUACAUUUUAAAAACAAGAAAAUGGUGCUGUCUGCUUUGCUUAAAUUAAGGAAUUUGAAAUUAUUUAUACUUCUUCUACUUUUAUUUUUGAUACUUAAGUAUAUUUUAGCAAUUACAUGUACUUUUGAUACUUAAGUAUAUUUUAGCAAUUACAUGUACUUUUGAUACUUAAGUAUAUUUACAACCAAAUACUUUUAGGUUUAUACUCAAGUAAUAUUUUACUGGGUGACUUUUACUUUUACUUGAGUAACUUUCUGUCAAGGUAUCUAUACUUUUACUCAAGUAUGACAAUUGAGUACUUUUUCCACCACUGAGAAUACUCUUUCCUAUUUCAAGAAAUGUAACCUAAUAACAUGAGCCCAAACACAUUCUCUAGUCCAAUGUCAUGAGCCCAAACACAAUCUGAAGCCCAAUGUCAUGAGUCCAAACACAUUCUGAAGCCCAAUGUCAUGAGCCCAAACACAAUCUGAAGCCCAAUGUCAUGAGCCCAAACACAUUCUGAAGCCCAAUGUCAUGAGCCCAAACACAUUCUGAAGCCCAAUGUCAUGAGCCCAAACACAAUCUGAAGCCCAAUGUCAUGAGCCCAAACACAUUCUGAAGCCCAAUGUCAUG
RNAcentral lists this long non-coding RNA (1688 nucleotides) under Salmo salar (Atlantic salmon). RNAcentral describes it as "lncRNA (ENSSSAG00000096959.1)". Lineage: Eukaryota; Metazoa; Chordata; Actinopteri; Salmoniformes; Salmonidae. The record is from RNAcentral.